Molecule: small nuclear RNA, 107 nt
Filed under: Marmota marmota marmota (Alpine marmot)
Lineage: Eukaryota; Metazoa; Chordata; Mammalia; Rodentia; Sciuridae
Also listed under: 1 other name
Source: RNAcentral
GUGCUCCCUUUGACAGCACAUAUACUAAAAUUGGAACAAUAUAGAGAAGAUUAGUAUUGGCCCCUGCACAAGAUGACACACAAAUUCAUGAAGUGUUCUAUAUUAAA